UCAAAUCAUCAUGCCCCUUACGUCCUGGGCCUCACACGUACUACAAUGGCGGACAUACAACGGGUAGCAACCACGCGAGUGGAAGCCAAUCCCUUAAAAGCCGCCUCAGUUCGGAUCGCAGGCUGCAACUCGCCUGCGUGAAGUCGGAAUUGCUAGUAAUCGCGGAUCAGCAUGCCGCGGUGAAUACGUUCCCGGGCCUU
This 200-nucleotide ribosomal RNA is filed under the name uncultured prokaryote. RNAcentral's name for it is "partial 16S ribosomal RNA". It matches the Rfam family "Bacterial small subunit ribosomal RNA", at positions 1185 to 1382 of the family's 1533-position model. The record is from RNAcentral.